Bombus pascuorum is the source of this 1015-nucleotide long non-coding RNA. RefSeq lists it as uncharacterized. The record is from RefSeq and is a predicted model, not a curated record. NCBI's taxonomy places the organism in Eukaryota, Metazoa, Arthropoda, Insecta, Hymenoptera, Apidae. The transcript is spliced from 2 exons.
CUUGAUCACGUUGCGGGCGAGGGUGAAAAGCUUCUCAUGGGAGGACCCUUGGUCAGACAAUUUUAAGUCAAUGGCUGAUUGAAGAGCUGCUGGUUUCAUCCAUUCUACUACUUUGUUUUUUCUUGAAGUUCCCUGGAAGGAGCAGAUCGAUGAAACUUCUCAUAAACUUCUCAUGGACCUCUCUCACCGGAAGACUCCUGUAGUUACAAUCUUCUCUGGAUUCUCCGUUGACAAUAGAAUUUGGACAACCAUUUUGAUAAUCCUCUUCGUCAUCACCAGAAGAUAGACGAGCAAGAUCGCUCUGUAAACUGUUGUCACAGACUUUCCUCAAGAAAUUAUCUCCUAUUUGAGGCGGAGACACGCUCACAGUUCCUUCGUUAGCCGGCAUAGUUACGUAUCGAAGUUUUUCUCAAUCUGUUCCGCGUGGUGCUCCUACAGUUUCCUUUAUACUAAUGUCUACUGACCAAGGACAAGAUCGUUGCGCGUUAACUACCUUCGGCUGCAUUUGCUUCACCGAGAUUCGCGGGACUGGUUCUCCUUUCCUGCCUCUUUUUCUGAUGAAUAUCGCGACCAGGGCCUUGAUGAAUUGGGAAACUAUCCUUUGUUCUAUAUCGCUGUUUCGACUAAUCCAGUAAAUAGAGCGUCGAGUUGCUAAGAGGAAACUUUACAUUCAAAUGUAUCAUCGACAAUGCGAUGAGAUACGUUUGAAUGUAAAUUGAGAUCUUAAUUCAGCUGUAUAGUCGUGUUUAACUUUUUCCAAUUAUCGAUUAUUAUCUUUUUUCUUGCGAUGAAUUUUUGCAUCAAAUCCGUAAGCAUUCUUCUUGUGCACUCGUUUCAAUUAAUUAGAAAAUUAUAGUAAUAUUAAUAUUCAUAGAUGAUUCGUCCUUGAAAGCAUUCUUGGAUUAAUUCAGGAAGGAAAGACCAAGGAAGAUAAAUAUUUAAAUUAGAUACUAUAAUAAUCUUUUUUAAUGACUUCACUAAUGACUUAUACAGAAAUAAAACUAUUUAUUCUUGA